GCCUGAGGAGGCCCACAUUCCCCAAUCCGCGAGCUAGCUGUCCCUUUUGGGUGGCUGUGACACUCGGGAAUAGCCACCCUUUGUCUGGUAGCAGCAGAUGCUCCUCUGCUUGCCCCAGCUUCUCCCUUCUUUCUGGCACGUUGCCACGCUUCCUUCCCUCCAGUGCCACUCCUUGCACGUUAGUAAGGCAGCCCAGUCUUCCUUGGUGGCUCCCAAAGCUACCCUGCCCAGGGGAAUGUGGGGAUGCGUGGGCCCCCGGGAGAGCUGGUGCUCACAGCCUCGGCUCUUUUAGUAUUCCCUCCAGGUCCAGGAGAGAAGCCCCCAGACUAUCCAUCAGGGACUGUGGAAUGUGCCUAGCUCUGCCUUGACUGAUGUGUGUGCGCGCGUGCGCGCGCCGCGCGCCCCCGUCCACAGAGGCGCGUGCCUGUGUGUGUGCACACGCCCUCCAUCUGCUGGUGAACGCACACAUCCACGCACACCUUCAGCCUCCUUUCUCACUCCCCUCCCUGCUGCCCAAGCAGCCGCAUGCUCUGAACAGACCUCCCGUUAGUUGGCACACUGCUUGGGCUGCUCCCCUCCGCCGCCGGCCGCCGCCGCCGGCCGGGGCUCCCCGACUUGCGCUCCUUCCAGCUGCUGCGGCGGCGGCAGCAGUGGCGGCGGUUGCUGCCAGGGGAAAGCUGGGCAGCCAGGCGGAGAGCAGUGCUUUUAAGCCUUUGCGUCCUGGAGGGGGGGGACACACAGAAGCCCGCGGACCACAGUAAGAAGCCCUGAGCGAGGCGCCCCCACUCUUGCCUCCUUUCUGCCUCCCUCCCCUCCCCCUUCCCUUCCUCCUCCCCCUCUCCUCCCCUCCUUCGCCCCCGCCGCCGCCGCCGCCGUCCGGCUGCCUCCCGGGCCGCCAGCCGCCGCACUCCCCGCAGCCAGCCGGCGCGAUGGUGAAGCCCGCCGCCGCCGCCACGCAGCCAUGGAGCCCGGCCGAGCAGCCCGCGCGCGCCUCUGCCUCCCUGCCCGCAGUCCGCCCCCCGAGCCCGAGCCCCGAGCGUCCCGGGCCAGCAGCCCCCGGCGCCCGCCGCCACUGAAGCCCCGGGCCAUGGCGGCCUCGUGCCGGGACCGCAGCUAGCUCGCUCGGGCCACCGCCACCGCCGCCGCCGCCACCGCGGAGGAGGAGGAGGAAAAGGAGGAGGGAAGACCUCGCAGACUCUGGGUAAGUGGAGGCGCAGCGCGGCAUGGCGCGGCCAGGACCAAGGCCAGGGCCCGUUUCGGUUCUGCGGGGCCCGCGCCCCCUCCCGGGGGCUGCCCUAGGAGGACUUGCAG
Molecule: long non-coding RNA, 1311 nt
Filed under: Monodelphis domestica (gray short-tailed opossum)
Lineage: Eukaryota; Metazoa; Chordata; Mammalia; Didelphimorphia; Didelphidae
Description: lncRNA (ENSMODG00000044257.1)
Source: RNAcentral